GACGAACGCUGGCGGCGUGCCUAAUACAUGCAAGUCGAGCGCAGGAAACUGACGGAACUCUUCGGAGGGAAGGCAGCGGAAUGAGCGGCGGACGGGUGAGUAACACGUAAGGAACCUGCCUCAAGGAUUGGGAUAACUCCGAGAAAUCGGAGCUAAUACCGGAUAGUUCAUCGGACCGCAUGGUCCGCUGAUGAAAGGCGCUCCGGCGUCACCUUGAGAUGGCCUUGCGGUGCAUUAGCUAGUUGGUGGGGUAACGGCCCACCAAGGCGACGAUGCAUAGCCGACCUGAGAGGGUGAUCGGCCACACUGGGACUGAGACACGGCCCAGACUCCUACGGGAGGCAGCAGUAGGGAAUCUUCCACAAUGGACGAAAGUCUGAUGGAGCAACGCCGCGUGAGUGAUGAAGGUUUUCGGAUCGUAAAACUCUGUUGUAAGGGAAGAACACGUACGAGAGGGAAUGCUCGUACCUUGACGGUACCUUACGAGAAAGCCACGGCUAACUACGUGCCAGCCGCCGCCGUAA
RNAcentral lists this ribosomal RNA (524 nucleotides) under uncultured bacterium. RNAcentral describes it as "partial 16S ribosomal RNA". It matches the Rfam family "Bacterial small subunit ribosomal RNA", at positions 28 to 523 of the family's 1533-position model. The record is from RNAcentral.